This is an RNA transcript of Condylura cristata (star-nosed mole), 6471 nucleotides long. It is a transcript of the gene named ELKS/RAB6-interacting/CAST family member 2, with no coding region annotated. Lineage: Eukaryota; Metazoa; Chordata; Mammalia; Eulipotyphla; Talpidae. The record is from RefSeq and is a predicted model, not a curated record. The transcript is spliced from 20 exons.
CUCCCGCUUUUGCUCGUGCGGGCUCCCGCUCCAGCUCUUCCCGGCUGCCCGGGGCCAAGGCGACGUGAGGUUGUAAAAAUCCAUGUGGGACGGCCCCGGGGCGAGCUUCGGAAAGAUCUCUGACUAGUCUGACUUCUCAGACUGAGAAGAAUGCAGUGAAAAUUCUGGCCAAGCAUGGAAAUAUUGGCUUAAUCCCCAACUGUAUAUAACAUUCCUUCUCUUCAGUAGCACUUCAUAAUAGAAGCAAAAUGUAUGGCAGUGCAAGAACAAUCACCAAUCUGGAGGGGAGCCCUUCUAGAUCUCCCCGUUUGCCAAGGUCUCCUCGUUUGGGUCAUAGACGAACAAGUAGUGGGGGAGGUGGAGGAACAGGCAAGACUCUGUCCAUGGAAAAUAUUCAGUCCCUUAAUGCAGCCUAUGCUACUUCUGGGCCCAUGUAUCUGAGUGAUCAUGAAGGAGUGGCUUCAACAACUUAUCCAAAGGGCACUAUGACUCUGGGAAGGGCCACAAAUCGAGCUGUAUAUGGAGGUCGAGUCACAGCCAUGGGAAGUAGUCCCAAUAUUGCUUCAGCUGGACUUUCUCACACAGAUGUCCUUUCAUACACGGAUCAACAUGGCGGUCUGACAAGCUCAUCCCAUCAUCACCACCACCAGGUCCCCUCCAUGUUGAGGCAGGUAAGGGAUAGCACAAUGUUAGACCUUCAAGCCCAGCUCAAGGAACUUCAGAGAGAGAAUGACCUCCUGCGGAAAGAGCUAGACAUCAAGGAUAGCAAGUUGGGAUCUUCCAUGAAUAGUAUCAAGACCUUCUGGAGUCCUGAACUCAAGAAGGAGAGAGUCUUGAGGAAAGAAGAGGCAGCCCGGAUGUCUGUACUCAAGGAGCAGAUGAGGGUUUCCCAUGAAGAAAAUCAGCACCUGCAGCUGACCAUCCAGGCCCUUCAGGAUGAGCUGCGGACCCAGCGAGACCUCAACCACCUUCUGCAGCAAGAGAGUGGAAACCGGGGUGCCGAGCACUUCACCAUCGAACUGACUGAGGAGAACUUCCGGAGGCUCCAGGCCGAGCAUGACAGACAGGCCAAGGAGCUGUUCCUUUUGAGGAAGACCUUAGAAGAAAUGGAGCUGAGAAUUGAAACACAGAAACAGACCCUUAAUGCCCGGGAUGAAUCCAUUAAAAAGCUUCUUGAGAUGUUGCAAAGUAAAGGUUUGCCGUCCAAAAGCCUCGAGGAUGACAAUGAACGGACACGGCGGAUGGCAGAGGCGGAAUCUCAGGUCAGCCACUUAGAAGUGAUCUUAGACCAGAAGGAGAAGGAAAACAUACAUCUUAGAGAGGAAUUGCACCGAAGAAGCCAACUUCAGCCGGAGCCAGCCAAGACGAAGGCUCUCCAGACUGUCAUUGAAAUGAAGGACACAAAAAUCGCUUCAUUGGAGCGAAACAUAAGGGAUCUUGAGGAUGAGAUCCAGAUGUUAAAAGCCAAUGGUGUGCUGAACACUGAGGACCGCGAAGAAGAGAUCAAACAAAUAGAGGUUUACAAAAGUCACUCCAAGUUUAUGAAGACCAAGAUUGAUCAACUGAAGCAAGAACUUUCAAAGAAGGAGUCAGAACUUCUUGCCUUACAAACAAAGCUUGAAACCCUUAGCAAUCAAAACUCAGAUUGCAAGCAACACAUUGAAGUGCUUAAAGAGUCACUUACAGCCAAAGAACAGAGGGCUGCCAUCCUUCAGACUGAGGUAGAUGCAUUGAGAUUACGACUGGAAGAGAAAGAAUCUUUCCUCAAUAAAAAAACAAAACAGCUACAGGACCUCACGGAAGAGAAGGGGACACUGGCUGGAGAGAUUCGGGACAUGAAAGAUAUGUUAGAAGUAAAGGAGAGAAAAAUCAAUGUUCUUCAGAAAAAGAUUGAAAAUUUGCAAGAACAACUUAGGGAUAAAGACAAGCAACUGACCAAUCUGAAAGACAGAGUGAAGUCCUUGCAGACUGACUCCAGUAAUACGGAUACGGCACUGGCGACACUUGAGGAGGCCUUGUCAGAGAAGGAGAGAAUAAUUGAACGUUUAAAAGAACAGCGGGAGAGAGAUGACCGAGAAAGACUAGAAGAGAUAGAGUCCUUCCGAAAAGAGAACAAAGACCUGAAAGAGAAGGUCAAUGCUUUACAAGCUGAACUCACUGAAAAAGAGUCUAGUUUAAUUGACCUCAAAGAACAUGCGUCUUCAUUAGCUUCAGCAGGACUGAAGAGGGAUUCCAAAUUAAAAUCUCUAGAAAUAGCCAUUGAACAAAAAAAAGAAGAAUGUAGCAAAUUGGAAGCACAGUUAAAAAAGCAAGCUGAGCAGUUGUUCAAUCAGAUGUACAAUCCAGCUCAUAAUAUUGAAGAUGACUCCAGGAUGAACCCUGAAUUUGCUGACCGAAUGAAGCAACUUGAUAAAGAGGCGUCUUACUACCGCGAUGAGUGUGGCAAGGCCCAGGCGGAAGUUGACCGGUUGCUGGAGAUCCUCAAGGAGGUGGAGAAUGAAAAGAAUGACAAGGACAAGAAGAUUGCUGAACUCGAGAGGCAUAUGAAAGAUCAGAAUAAGAAGGUGGCCAACCUCAAGCACAAUCAACAGUUAGAAAAGAAGAAGAAUGCUCAGUUACUGGAAGAAGUUCGCAGGCGAGAAGAUAGCAUGGCUGACAACUCGCAACACUUGCAGAUAGAGGAACUGAUGAACGCAUUGGAGAAGACCAGACAGGAGCUAGAUGCCACCAAAGCACGCCUCGCAUCCACACAGCAGUCCCUAGCUGAAAAGGAAGCUCACUUGGCCAACCUCCGGAUGGAAAGGAGAAAACAGCUCGAGGAGAUCCUGGAGAUGAAACAGGAAGCACUGCUUGCAGCAAUCAGUGAGAAAGAUGCUAACAUUGCCUUGCUGGAGUUGUCUGCCUCCAAGAAGAAAAAGACGCAAGAAGAAGUCAUGGCCCUCAAGAGGGAAAAAGAUCGAUUAGUGCAUCAGUUAAAACAGCAGGUUUAUAGACCUAGGAAACAGCCCCUGAGCUCGAAUAUACCAUGCACUUGUGAUGCUGGCUACAGCCCAGAUAUUACGGCCACGUACCACGGGUCAAGCUACGAUGCUUACAUGAUCCAAAGGUCUCAGACCCAGAACAGAAUGAAGCUGAUGGCAGACAACUACGAUGAGGAUCACCACCAUUACCACCACCACCACCACCACCACCACCACCGAUCUCCUGGGAGGUCGCAACAUUCCAAUCACAGGCCCUCUCCUGACCAGGAUGACGAGGAGGGCAUAUGGGCAUAGCCGGGCCUGUAAACCAAAGUUCCAGUUUUGUUUUGAGGGAUGAUCCAGCUCUGUCGGAGGCACGGAGGCACAGUCAAAUCUCAUGCUGUACAUUGAUCACCUGUCCAACCUUUGCCUAGAGUGGGAGCCCCCAGUUCCUUCAAGAGAUCCAACUUUACCUGUCUGUAAAGAAGAAGAGGAGGAGGGAGACAGCAGGGAGGAUCCGGUGGCAGUUUAACACCAGAGCAGCUAUCAGAAGGGCUGAAUAAAAAGAAAAUGCAGCUCUACAGCGAUAUUCCGAUAAUCUAUUGCAGUGCGGCUCACAUCACUGUCCAUCACCACCUGGAAUGGCUCAUCAGGACUGAAGAGGAGUUUUCACUUUCAUUAUUGAGCAUGUUUCUGUUGGAUUUGAUAUUUCCUUCAUCAUCCCAUGUCCUUUCUCGUGGGUUCAUAUAUAUGGGAAAGGAAGAAUGUGGCAGAGAAGGAAAAAAAUGACAGAUUGCCCAUAUCUGGUCUGGAUGUGGGCAUUGAACAUGUGAUCAUCUCUUCUGAAUGUCAUUAUUUGAUAACAAUUAUGUUACUUAGACAUCCUCAGAUAAAUUUGAGCUCCGUGGGAUUUAACUGUGGAUUCAGCUUCUGUUGGACAACUAGCUUCAUCUCCAGUUUUUCUGCUGGCUCAGUCGAAGUGGGCAUUCCUAAUGCAUUAGAUUAUCAAAAAGAGUAAAUUCUCUGUGAGUGAAUGGUGUUGGCAGUGUUUGUAUACUGAGAUGCAUGGAGUGUUUGACAAAGAAACCAAAACACCAAAAACGGCGAGCCUUUACCCUCCUCUAUUUCUUUAAUCUGCUGUUUGAAGAACCACAUUUUGAUGGUGUAACCAGUAGUUACCUCUGGGCCAGGUUGGAAAUGAAAUCAAUUUUUUAAACCACUAAUACUUGCCAAGAAAUCGCCUUAUGAGAACAUGGUGUGUGUCUCUGACAAUGCAUGGCACAUCUAAAUUAAUCAUUCAUGAUUUUAUCUACCCUGUUUAUGUACCGAAGAGUGGCAAAAGCCUGAGGCACCUGCCUGUUUCUCUCUCUGUAUUGAAUGUGUCCCCACAGCUGGGAUGUGGCCAAGCCUCAGACUUUUUCCAUUCCCUUACAUGCAGGGCUCCAUGAAAAAGCUGGGACUCAUUCUCAUUUCAAGAUCCAAAUGCUGUGCAAACAGUAUAAGCUUAGAUCGUCUGUAAAUGAAGGUUCAUUUCUCAUUUUUUAAAAAUGUCUAUAACACGAAUUCCAAAGCCUUUUCAACAUUCAAUCAAAAACAUUGAUGAAUGAGGAAUAAUCACAAAAGCUGUGUACCUGUAUAUAGCUCUACAUAACAUGUUUGUGGGUACAAAAUCAUUAUUUAAAGCACAUGCCAGGGAAGGAGACCAAAUUUUGUGGUCUUUCACAUACAGUGACAUGGUACUAAGGAGAAUUAAACUCCUACUGCUUACUCUGAAGAUUAAAAAAAAUAAUAAUAAGUUGUUGUAACUUCUUAGAACUCAUGACCAAGUCUGGCAAACACGUGCAACUAUUGUAUUGAUCCAUUUUUUGUCAAUGGAAGAUACUCUUCCACAUGUAUGCAAGUAGGAGAUGAAAAUCUGCAUUUUUAAAGGACAAACAGUGAAUUUAAGCAUGAGUGGCCUUAAUAAAUAUAGUUGUCUUUCUUUGCUGCUGUGGAAAGGAUUCUAAACAUAUGUUCCUGAAGUCUUGCAUUGAAUUUACUUGUUAUGAUUACUUUUUAAAAUGUUGGUGCAAUGAACUCUGGACCUCUCUUGUGAGCCAUAGAGAUAUUCAAAAGAUAGACAUCUUAUUUUUCAGGGAAGAUGAAACCAUCCCUGAUUGGCACCUGGUCGGUGCAUUAGGAAUAAUAUACUCAAGCAGGUUUCUUGCUUCUGGCUUUGUUCUUGUCGUCAGCAAGUACAACGAACUCUGUGAAGCUUAAGUGUUGCAUAAACAAUCCAAAUACAUUCAUGUUUAAAAAGUUUGUCCUUUAACUAUCAAAGCAAUCUAGGUCUUGAUUGGAGGAAAUGAGCAAAGUUCUUUGCAAGCAUAUUUAGCACAUUUUGACAUAAUGUCACACUGAAAACCCAGGCCACAAACGCGUCCCCAUGAACAGUUAGGGUGUCCUCAAGUAGGUGGUCCUCAUUGUUUCCUACAAAAAGGUCCUGACCUGAACUCUGUAACUGAAUACUUGAACUUUUCCCACCAGGGAAAAGAGGGUCCUGAAAACAGGAAAAGCAACAACCACGUAUCGAGAGUUAUUUCUAAGUAUGUGCCAAUUUUGUCAUGGCUGUUGUUUAGGGGAUCAUGUUUUGCCCCCACUUUGUUGGUUUUUAAAGUACUGAUCUUACCUUUAUUGGGGACAUACCAUUUUGUUUCUUAUAAUUCAAUUCUGUCUAGCAUAGAAUCUUUUCCUAUUCCAUGUAAUAUUCUCUGAUGUUGGGGAGGUUACCAAAAAAAAUCCUUUUUCACAUAUUAAAAUAGUCUCUGGGUUUACAACAAACACUGUGAUGUCGGGGAGAUAUUUCCUUUGUGCAAACUUUAGCAGGUUCCCCUCUGAUCAUAAAGAAGUUGCAAAAAGUUGAGGCUGACAUUUCAGAGAAGUUGGUCUUCUUACUUUGUGCAAAAGCAGGCUUGUACUUUAUACCCCAUUUGAUUUCCAUGUACAAUCUCGAUUUUGUAUUUACUGACUUUUGUGUUUUCAGUAUGCACGUUAACAGCGUGUCAACUUUCAUUUGAAAAUGGGUUUCGAUUUACUUUUUAAACAGUGUUUAUGAUGAGAUCUCCGAUGUGUUGACAUAAGCUCUAUCUGAGAUGUUUUUGUGUAGAGUGGCGUUUGAAUGCUGCCAAGGGUCAGUGUAUCUAAUUCCCCGAGACCCUAGUUUGAUAGUGCUUCUUGUAAUAUUUCUUUAAGUGAGUGGCAUGUGGGUUGUGAUUUUGACCAUGUGAUUAUGGACUUCGAUAUGAAAAAAAUAAAUAAAAUUAAGGAACCCUCAGAAACUACCAGUGGGCAUGUAUUAGCCAGUCAUUGUAACCUUGUGUCUAGUAGAAGUACAACAUGCAGGUAUGUACAGUUCAUAAAUUUGUUAUCAUGUGUAUGAGAAGUACUUUGUGCUGAUCGCCUUAUUUAUAUUCAUCAAAUAAACUUUGUUUCUUUCUGAAGUAAGUUCAUUCCAUCUCUAAUAAAUACUCUA